CCUACGGGGGGCAGCAGUGGGGAAUAUUGGACAAUGGGGGGAACCCUGAUCCAGCCAUGCCGCGUGUGUGAAGAAGGCCCUCGGGUUGUAAAGCACUUUCAGUGAGGAAGAACGCCUGGUGGUUAAUACCCAUCAGGAAAGACAUCACUCACAGAAGAAGCACCGGCUAACUCCGUGCCAGCAGCCGCGGUAAUACGGAGGGUGCGAGCGUUAAUCGGAAUUACUGGGCGUAAAGCGCGCGUAGGUGGCUUGAUAAGCCGGUUGUGAAAGCCUCGGGCUCAACCUGGGAACGGCAUCCGGAACUGUCAAGCUAGAGUGCAGGAGAGGAAGGUAGAAUUCCCGGUGUAGCGGUGAAAUGCGUAGAGAUCGGGAGGAAUACCAGUGGCGAAGGCGGCCUUCUGGACUGACACUGACACUGAGGUGCGAAAGCGUGGGUAGCAAACAGGAUUAGAUACCCGUGUAGUC
This 465-nucleotide ribosomal RNA is filed under the name Vreelandella stevensii. RNAcentral's name for it is "partial 16S ribosomal RNA". It matches the Rfam family "Bacterial small subunit ribosomal RNA", at positions 338 to 795 of the family's 1533-position model. Lineage: Bacteria; Pseudomonadati; Pseudomonadota; Gammaproteobacteria; Oceanospirillales; Halomonadaceae. The record is from RNAcentral.